Molecule: ribosomal RNA, 490 nt
Filed under: Rhinella granulosa (granular toad)
Lineage: Eukaryota; Metazoa; Chordata; Amphibia; Anura; Bufonidae
Description: partial small subunit ribosomal RNA
Rfam family: Bacterial small subunit ribosomal RNA
Source: RNAcentral
GCCCAGCAGUAAACUUUUAUUUACACCUAAAUCGCCAGGGAACUACGAGCUAAGCUUAAAACCCAAAGGACUUGACGGUACCCCAUAUCCCCCUAGAGGAGCCUGUCCUAUAAUCGAUAAUCCACGUUUAACCUCACCAUUUCUAGUUACUCAGCCUGUAUACCUCCGUCGUCAGCUUACCACGUGAGCGUAAAUUAGUGAGCCUAAUGUCUUUCACCAACACGUCAGGUCAAGGUGCAGCAAAUGAAAUGGAAAGAGAUGGGCUACACUUUCUACAUUAGAAGAAACGAAAAACUACUUAUGAAAUCUAGUUGGAAGGCGGAUUUAGCAGUAAAAAGGAAUCAGAAUGUCCAUUUUAACCCGGCACUGGGGUGUGUACACACCGCCCGUCACCCUCUUCAAAGCUUAUAACCUAGUCUUUAACCAACCAAAGCACAACAGAAGAGGCAAGUCGUAACAUGGUAAGUAUACCGGAAGGUGUGCUUGGAAA